AGGGUUAUCGCCAAGCGGUAAGGCACAGGAUUUUGAUUCCUGCAUUCGGAGGUUCGAAUCCUCCUAGCCCUG
The sequence is a transfer RNA, 72 nucleotides long. It matches the Rfam family "tRNA". From Rfam's summary of the family: Transfer RNA (tRNA) molecules are approximately 80 nucleotides in length. Their secondary structure includes four short double-helical elements and three loops (D, anti-codon, and T loops). Further hydrogen bonds mediate the characteristic L-shaped molecular structure. tRNAs have two regions of fundamental functional importance: the anti-codon, which is responsible for specific mRNA codon recognition, and the 3' end, to which the tRNAs corresponding amino acid is attached (by aminoacyl-tRNA synthetases). tRNAs cope with the degeneracy of the genetic code in two manners: having more than one tRNA (with a specific anti-codon) for a particular amino acid; and 'wobble' base-pairing, i.e. permitting non-standard base-pairing at the 3rd anti-codon position. The record is from Rfam.